This 253-nucleotide ribosomal RNA is filed under the name uncultured bacterium. RNAcentral describes it as "partial 16S ribosomal RNA". It matches the Rfam family "Bacterial small subunit ribosomal RNA", at positions 524 to 776 of the family's 1533-position model. The record is from RNAcentral.
UACGUAGGGGGCAAGCGUUGUCCGGAAUCAUUGGGCGUAAAGAGCGUGUAGGCGGCCUGAUAAGUCGGCUGUGAAAGUCAAGGGCUCAACCCUUGAAUGCCGGCCGAUACUGUCAGGCUAGAGUCCGGAAGAGGCGAGUGGAAUUCCUGGUGUAGCGGUGAAAUGCGCAGAUAUCAGGAAGAACACCCGUGGCGAAGGCGGCUCUCUGGAACGCAACUGACGCUGAGACGCGAAAGCGUGGGGAGCAAACAGG